GUGGACUUCGGGUGGGGGAAGCCCGAAUAUAUUGCGCCAUUGCUCGAUAACCUCAUUGUUGGGGUUGCUUACAUUGUUAGAUCACCGACCCCGAAAAAGGGUGUGCGUUUGAUCACACAAUGUGUUGUGGAAGAGAACUUGGCAACAUUACAAGAUGAGAUUGUGAAGGCUUUUGAAAUUUGAGUGUUUGAAGAAUUUGUU
This 201-nucleotide unclassified non-coding RNA is filed under the name Hevea brasiliensis (rubber tree). The record is from RNAcentral. Lineage: Eukaryota; Viridiplantae; Streptophyta; Magnoliopsida; Malpighiales; Euphorbiaceae.